This is a non-coding RNA of Chrysemys picta bellii (western painted turtle), 2177 nucleotides long. The record is from the annotation of a RefSeq genome assembly. Lineage: Eukaryota; Metazoa; Chordata; Testudines; Emydidae.
GCAGUUUAACAAUUAGUGUCAAAGAAACUGAUCUAGAAGGAACAUGAUUUUACAAAUGCAUUUGCUCUGGCUGCUGUUCUCUGUGUUUGAAGAAUCCAGUGGGCAGAUUGUUAUCACUCAGACACCUGCUUCUGUGACGGUGCUUCCAGGAGAGACGGUCACCAUUCAGUGCAAGGCAUCCAGCUCCAUGAGUAACGAUAUGCAACUACAUCUAUUUAAAUUGGGACAAAAUCCCAAGCUCCUUAUAUAUAACGGAGCCACCCGUUUCACUGGGGUCCCCGAUCGAUUCAGUGGUCAAUACAGCGGCACCGACUUCACAUUCACCAUUAGUGGGGUGCAGGCUGAUGAUGGAGGUGACUACUACUGUCAGCAGGACUAUACAACCCCGCUCACAGUGAUACAACUCAAUGCAAAAACCUCAUUAGUGCUGCAGCCUUCUUGGUAUGAAGCAGAAGGAAACAUCUGCGGUUGUAUCUAAAUGAAUGGAGGUGAAAAGUUUCUAAUGAGAAUUAUCCUCACAGUGGAACCCUUCCAUUGGGUUUUCCGAUUAUUGGAUUUAUUUCUCUAAAAUUCUUCCUGAAAUCAGUUUCUGUGUUAGUAGGGGCAGGCGCUGUACAGGAAGUAACUGAGGUACAACUGCCAACCCCAUUAUCACCCAGCCACUUUAAUAGAAUCCGAUGGCCUUUUUUUUCCCCCUUUAAAAAAAUGACCUGUGUAUUUUUCAGAAAAUAAACAGUAACUUCCCUACAUGGACACAUUUUCCCGAUUCCCUGCACACAUGAACAAUCCUCCUUCGUUAUUAUUUUUUCAACCAUGAAUAUUAUCACUGCAUUCCCGUAGGCUGUCUAAACACCUAUGGUGGUGUUUAGAGGGUGUGAGCGGGGGUUGCAGCCCUAAUGAAGUCCACUGAGCUGGACAAAAAUGUUUUACUGAAAUGUUUGUGGUUUUCUUGGCAAAAAAGGCAGAUUCGAUGAUGUUCCUUAAUCACUGAUUUAAAACCUUUACUUCAGAAUGAACUUCCCAGGGAAAUGACCAUUUAUCUUAGAAGGAGGUGUCUGCUAAAAUGAUCUUUUCUAAUAACUGAACUGAAGACAAACAUAACCCUCAGUGCAGUAACACAGAUACACAGGCACAGUGCCACCACUGACCGCAGUGUUCCCUUAGUGCACCUGGAGUAUAACAAUUAUUUUAGUCCUUAUACAGCACUUUACAGCUUCAAAGCAGAGUACAAGCAUUUACUCACUCGCUUCUACCCUGGAUCCCAAUUUUAACCCUCUGAAAUGUUGCCCUUUAAAAAUCGUAAUGUUAUUAUGAAGGAUGGUGUUUUUUGAUUGAUUGCAGCAGCAUUACAUGGGGCCCUUGCUAGAAGAUUGGGGAAGACAGAAACCUAUUUUUCAACAUGAUUUCCAACAUAAAUAAUCAAUGUUGAUCAAACUUUCAAUGUUGUAUAAGCAUACUGUGAACCAUCGUAGCAAUUGCAUGUUGCAAAUGAUUCUCUUCCGGUCUGUGGCUGGUUGUGAACUUUAAAUUAGCAGUGUAAUGUAUCCUUCCUGGUGUAACAUUUUUCUACCUGGUUCUUUCUCUUCCCAUCAUGUCAAGUCUCAAACUAGUUUUGUCUUUGCCUGUUUUCAAGGUCGCUUUCCGCUACCAAGAUCAGUUUCCUCAUUGACUCCUCACUGCAGACAGCGCUGAUCCCACAAAAGGGAAUUUCCCUCUAGUCCCAGGACAGCGCACAGGUGACUCAGACUAUGUCUGCUGCCUGAGAGACCUCUCCUUUCUCUCCUCAUUUUCCUUCUCUCAUAUCUCUGUCAUUCCCACUUCCGACUCGGACCCUCUCUCCAGAAUCUUUAGACACAUUCUAUUGAUUUUACAUGGUGAUCAUUACCCUACUACUGUCACUGGACCACAACACCCCUACACAUCUCAGCCGGCACCUUUAAAAGUUAUGCUUAGCAUUGCUACUCUCAAAGCAGUGACUGAUUCUGUGCAUUGGGACCAGAGGAGUUAGGGGCCGGAUUCAAAAUAAUAAAAACAAAAACAAAACAAACCCCCAAAUAAUUAAACAAAUAAACAACAAUAAAAAAUUCAUUUUUGGAAAAAAGAACAAAUGGCCACGGAGAGAUUCUAAGAUGAUGUUAAGUAUCAGAGGGGUAGCCGUGUUAGUCUGGAUCUGUAAA